AUGAAGAGAUAUUUUUCAUCCGUGGCCGCAACAGAAGUGUCUACACCCAGAGUUUUAGCAGGGAAUCAAGGGGCCGGGAGGACUGAAGCAACUCCAGAAAAUGAAACAGCUGGAGAAAUGGGACCACCGCCUUCAAUCUCAACUCGAGAAAGCAACAUUUUUGUUAUUCCUGAUUCUGCUCGUGGUCAACUAAGGGAAGAUGACAAAAUUGUAUGGCCCUCGAUAUGUGCAAAGCUUUCAGAGGAGCUGCAACACACAAGAAGCAAAGUGAGUGCCCUUGCUUAUGAGAAGGCAAGCUACUAA
Molecule: ribosomal RNA, 303 nt
Filed under: Triticum aestivum (bread wheat)
Lineage: Eukaryota; Viridiplantae; Streptophyta; Magnoliopsida; Poales; Poaceae
Description: partial small subunit ribosomal RNA
Source: RNAcentral